UUUUUAGUAUAAGGAUGUCCCAUGUCAUCUUUGGGACAUCCUUAUACUAAGA
RNAcentral lists this microRNA precursor (52 nucleotides) under Tupaia belangeri chinensis (Chinese tree shrew). Its description in RNAcentral is "Tupaia chinensis (Chinese tree shrew) mir-1302 microRNA precursor family". It matches the Rfam family "mir-1302 microRNA precursor family". The record is from Rfam by way of RNAcentral. Lineage: Eukaryota; Metazoa; Chordata; Mammalia; Scandentia; Tupaiidae.